GAGAUUCAAACAGCAGAUAAUACAAGCCGAAGUUUUCUUUCUAUGGAAGAGUUGAUGCGCCUUUUAAGAAGUGAACAACCAAGUUAUUUGCCUGGAAAAGUCUCCUGAAAUACUGAAGUUAUGCUAAAGAAGGAGAAGAGAAAGGAAGCUGCAGUCCCUGUAUAACUCUUAAAUUUUUAAUUUGGAGUUCCUCUUCUUUGGUGCAACAAUCUUUCUGCAUGCAGAUCCAUGUGGCACUCAUCUCAUCAUUCUGAGGGAUGAAAGAUGCAUGGGGAAUAAUGCAUGUGGUUAUUUCUAUUUCUCUCAAGUGCACAUUAUCCAUCAAGAUUUAAAUCAUUUUGAAAUAUUAAUAUAAUGAUCAAAAAUUAACUUUUAUACAUGUUAUUAGGUAGAACCCACAGAAAACAAUAAAGCAGGAGAGAAAAGAGGAUGGCAGUUUACCCAGGAAACAUAGGUUGUUCAAAGCUUUGCAAUGAUAUUCUCAAUUCAGAGCAAUGAAGAACAGAAUGCUGUCUUCCCAUAAUGAUGGCAUUCAAUUAUCACUAGACUUACAAGACUACAGAAAAUUUCUCAAGAACCAGUAAGGAUCAGACACAGCCAAUGACAAUACUGAAGAAGCUUGCCAGUGGAGAAUGAAAGCUCAAUUACACAAAUUACCUUGUUGAACUAGUGCCAGAAAUAAAAUGUGAUGAAGGACAAACUCAUUAA
This is a long non-coding RNA of Pongo pygmaeus (Bornean orangutan), 708 nucleotides long. RefSeq lists it as uncharacterized. The transcript is spliced from 4 exons. NCBI's taxonomy places the organism in Eukaryota, Metazoa, Chordata, Mammalia, Primates, Hominidae. The record is from RefSeq and is a predicted model, not a curated record.